RNAcentral lists this long non-coding RNA (652 nucleotides) under Ornithorhynchus anatinus (platypus). RNAcentral's name for it is "lncRNA (ENSOANG00000036648.1)". The record is from RNAcentral. Lineage: Eukaryota; Metazoa; Chordata; Mammalia; Monotremata; Ornithorhynchidae.
CAGAAAAGGGGGAGGGGGAAGAAGGGGAAAAGGGAAGAGGGAGAAGAGGGAAAGAGGGUGAUGAGGCAGAGACGGGGAAGAAGGGGAAGAGGGAGAAAAGGGGGAGAGGGGCAAGAAGGAGAAGAGGGGAAGGGAGUAGAGGGGGAAGAAGGGGGAGUGAGGUCCGGAUGAGGCCGGGCGGGCUAGGUGAGGUCGGCGUCGAUCCCUCCCUCCUCGCUCCAGCUCCUCCCCCUUCCCCACCCUCCCAGCCCCCAGCCCCUCCUCUCCCCUCCUGUCCCUCCCCCCGUCCCUGCUGUCCCUGCUGUCCCUGCUGUCCCUCCUCCCGGCGGCGGCGGGGGCGGCUGGGCCCGGCCCGGACCCAGAUCCCUCUUGUCCGGGCGCCAGCCCCGUGGGAAAGGACCUGUGGAGGAGGAGGAGGAGGAGGGAAAAGAGGAAAAAAAGGAAGAGGAGGCGCCCGGCAGAUUGGCCCCCUCUGGAGGCUUUGGGGACCAGUGGAACUGGAUCCUGGGGAGGCUCAACCUUCGGAAGUGCUCUGGAUCCGGAUGCCAGGGGCUGCAGGACGGACCAUCGACGAGAUGAUGCCAGAGGGGACGCCCGGCACCCCUGAACCGCGACACUGACCACUGUGGUUGGGAUGUGGGAAGGCAGAAAC